Molecule: unclassified non-coding RNA, 281 nt
Filed under: Hevea brasiliensis (rubber tree)
Lineage: Eukaryota; Viridiplantae; Streptophyta; Magnoliopsida; Malpighiales; Euphorbiaceae
Source: RNAcentral
AUUUUUUUAAUGAUAAAUGUUGAGAUUUAGAAUGGUAGAAAAGAUAGGAUGAAAUAACAAGAGAAGGAUUUACCCAAUUCGACUAUUGAGAGCGUGCAUACACAGACACAAAACCUCAAAGGGAUACAUUUCAUUCAGUUGUGUCUUUUCAUAAUUCAUAAGAGUUUAUACUUAUAAUGGAAGAUACAAGAUAUUAUAGCAUGAUAUCAAUAAACCAUUUUGUUAAUGAAAUACAUGAUUUUAUCAUAGUCAUGAGAUUCUUCAAUGAGACAUAACCCAUG